UACGUAGGGACCGAGCGUUGUCCGGAAUCAUUGGGCGUAAAGAGCGUGUAGGCGGCCUGUUAAGUCUUGCGUGAAAUCUCGGGGCUCAACCCCGAGCGGUCGUGAGAAACUGGCAGGCUUGAGUGCGGCAGAGGGGGGUGGAAUUCCACGUGUAGCAGUGAAAUGCGUAGAGAUGUGGAGGAACACCGAUGGCGAAGGCAGCCCCCUGGGUCGACACUGACGCUCAUGCACGAAAGCGUGGGGAGCAAACAGG
Molecule: ribosomal RNA, 253 nt
Filed under: uncultured bacterium
Lineage: Bacteria
Description: partial 16S ribosomal RNA
Rfam family: Bacterial small subunit ribosomal RNA
Source: RNAcentral